CGCCAGUCAAGAACUUUGGUUAAGGCUGUGGGAGACGCUAAUAAAAAAUGACCAGGAAAUGCAUGUAAUUAAACGAGGGUUGGUGGCCGCCAGUCAAGAACUUUGGUUAAGGCUGUGGGAGAUCUUUUAAUUAAAGGAAAACUAACGAAAAAAUCUUAAAAAUUUUAAUUUUAAUGAAAAAAGACAAAUAAAUGUGUAAGUGAAUAGUACCAGGAAAGGUAAAAAUGUCAUUUUUCGUGAAAAGUAAAUAGCACCGAGAGUGUUUUAUUAAAACUCUUUUUAAUUAAACCAAGUGGCCUAAACAAUUAGUUAAAAAAAAUUCUAAACUCUCAACCAAUUUUAUUAUAACACUUGAUGUACUAGCUGUGUUCCCGUCACACACUCCCCUCACGUUUCUCUCUCUAUAGCUCAUUUGCACAUUUUUACCAUCUUGUCCUUAACUUUUUUUUAUUUUUUAUAUCUUAACCUAUAAUUAAAUGAAUAAUUUUGGUCAUUAUAAGAAUGUUUAACCAUGAGUUCUUCUGCCUUACGAAUAUAAAUACAAUGGUCAAGGCAAAUGCCUUUAUUUGAUUUUGAUUUUUAAUUUUCAUAUUUUGGUAUUAUUAAAAACCAGAUAAACAUUACUAAGCAAAGCCUGAAAACUAUAUAUAAUUACUGAAAUGUUUAUCAAACUCUAGUUAAGAGUCACCAAACUCUACUAAAAAAUUAAUGACCUCAUAUAUUGUCACUUACGUGCCCCUUUUGUUGAAGUUGAUAAAUUUAAUGAAAUGCUCAUUUGACAACCAUUCUAGUUUUUAUUAUUAUUAUUUUUUUUUUAACUAAAAGCUAGUUUAGUAAUUGCCUUCAGUUUCAAAUAUAUGAUGCAUGAAAAUCAAAAUCAAGCCAAAUUAUGAAACUAAAAAAAAGUAGCUUUUAGUUUUUUAUUUUCAAUUUUUAUACCAUACAAGUUUUCAAUUUUCACUUUUUUUUUUGGAAAAUCUUGACGUACGAUAAAAUUUUAUUGAUUUGAAAAAAAAAUUACACCUAAUUAGGUAGACAUAAACCUUACCCCUUAUAAAGCAAGAAAACCAAAAUACAAAAAAUGAGGAGGAAAUAAACAUUACCUUCUUGAAAAAGAAAGUACAAGAAAAGAAAGGGAGCAUAAAUCUUAUCCCUGAUAAAAAGAAAAUACAAUAAAAGGAGUGGAGAUCUAUGACCAAACCCCUCUAAAAUAAAAGCUAUAAGGUAAGAACUUGCAUGAUAAACUGCAAAACAAAAAGUAAAAUCCAAAAGGAUUAGGUAAAAAAGAAAAUCAUACAUAAAAAAGGGAGAUAAACAUGUAAGUCGGCAUGCCAAACAAGUAAAGAUGAAAGAAGCUCUAAAAUGGCUAAUUUGUCAACAAAUGCAUUCUUUUCUCGAAAUGUAUGGGAGCAACAAUAAACCAUGUGUUGUAACAUAGAAAUAAAGUUUUUCCAAUGAGUUCGGAACAACCAAAAAGGAGAAAAAGAACUAGAAGCAAAGCAAUAUAUCACAUUAGAAUAGCCAUAAGCCAACCCUGCGCAUGAGCCAACUCCGUAGCAAGGAUGACAACAUAAAGCUCUGUACAGAAAGAAGUAUGAUGGCCCAAACUCAGGGAGAAACCACCAAGAAAAUAACCUGCAUAAUCUUGGAAAACCCCACCAUAUAUAAGCCGCAAGAUCUAGGUUACCUUUAGCAAUGUCAUCCUUAUUCACUUUGACCUAUGGAAAUGGAGGGGCAUGCCAAAGAACAUGAACUGUAAAAGAAGCUUUACAGGACUCAACCAAGAUUCUAAAAGAGACCAAAAAUUGCUUACCCAAUAUACAACGUACAUGACCAUGAGUUAAAACUCCAACUUACCUAAUCCAGGCAAAGUAGAACAACAUAAGCAUAAAAAAGAAGAAGGCCUACUUUCAAACUUUACUUUAUUAUGCAUCUUCCAAACAACCAUUAAUAAGUAAAAUCAUAAUGCUAGCCAAACAUUGUGAAGUUGUGGAGAAACCCGUUUUGACACAAAAGCAAGUCGAAAAUUCAAGAAGGAACCUGUAAGCAGAAAAAUAGUCCAAAUUGAGUAGCAAGCCAAAACUAAGUGUGGAACCAUGAUUUUCUAGAUUUGGAGUAAGAUAGAUCGGAAUACGAAUAUCUUAGAAAUUCGGUCAUGGACUUAACAGCUUCCAUCACGGAGCUGCAUAGAUGAACCAGUGAUUCCAUUGUCAUCUUGCUCGAAGCAGUGGGCGAAGUCUGUUGACUUCACUGAGAUUAACCAUGCUUGUUCAGCAAGAUACAGAAAUUUGUUCUAGUAUAGAAUCAACCAAGUUUCCUUAAAUCUGGAAGAUUCCUAAAAUCUAGGGAUUUGGUGUGCACCACAAGUAAUCAUACCACUAAGAGGAUUCAAUAUCUACUCAUAGAUAUCUUGUGGGAUUCUCAUGGUUUAAUACAAAUUCUAUAUCCUAAAAUAACUCUAUCUCAACUAGUAUAAAUACACCAUUCUGGGUUCAUCUCUGGUAACACAAUUAUCUUAUGUACUGCUUGAGUCUCAAAUAUUGCUUACUAACUUGACCGUUAGAGAGUCUUUGACUAGUACCCUACCGAUCCUUAGGUUGCUUACGGUUAUUUGUUAUUUUAUAGGUUGUCGAAUUUGUGCAUCCCGACCCUUCAAGGUAGUGCACAAAUUUAGUUUUAACACCAAGCAUGUUGUGCAAAUUCACAACUAAAAAAUUGGAAAUAAAGGAAUGUCCCCUACUUGAUGUUGAUUCUCUUUUGGUAGCUUAUUAAAAAGAAUCAACCAAACUAAAAUAAAGUAGCGAGCUAGAAUGAAAGGAUGCCAAAUAAUGGAAGACUAACUUUUAACAGGAAACCGAAGACGAACAGUUUCAUAGCCAUCAAAAAAUGAAAAAUCUCAAAAUGUGCAUCUCAGAUUAACACAUCCUUUUCCUCAUCAAUUAUAAGAGGCAUCUCUAAAAUCUCUUUACCUAACUCUGAAAAGUAGAAGAAGAAAAAUAGGAGGAAUAACCCAUUUUCCAUAUCAUAAUGUCUGAGACUUUUGUCUGAAAUAGAGAAUGAGCAAGCUUAGUAGCAACAACGGCCUCCAUAAUAGGCAUAACCAACCACUUAUCAAUCCAAAGAGAAAAGAGAAGUACUAGAACCAUACCAAUUGCCCAACGAUAAUUCUAAAACAAGAUAUGAACAAUAGAUUAAUACUAGGCCAUAUAGAAGAUUGUUUGUAACAAGAAAAGUAUAAAUAACCAUGUAGCUGAAAUUGCUCUAAAAAAUAAACACUAUAGAGAAUCUAAUGUUAAACCCCACCCCCGAAUUUAUAUGUAAUUUUAUAAUUUCCCAAAGUUUUAUUGAAAAUUUCAUUUUGGUCCCCUAGAUUGACUAAAUCUAGACCCUUUAUCUAGAUUCCUAAACCCCCUCAAACUGCCACGUGGCAGCACCCUAACAAACCUCAUCUCUCUCU
Molecule: long non-coding RNA, 3457 nt
Filed under: Malus domestica (apple)
Lineage: Eukaryota; Viridiplantae; Streptophyta; Magnoliopsida; Rosales; Rosaceae
Description: long non-coding RNA (MDOM_LNC014977)
Source: RNAcentral